CGGCGGACGGGUGAGUAACGCGUGGGUAACCUGCCUCAUACGGGGGGAUAACAGUUGGAAACGGCUGCUAAUACCGCAUAAGCGCACAGUACCGCAUGGUACGGUGUGAAAAACUCCGGUGGUAUGAGAUGGACCCGCGUCUGAUUAGCUAGUUGGUGGGGUAACGGCCUACCAAGGCGACGAUCAGUAGCCGGCCUGAGAGGGUGAACGGCCACAUUGGGACUGAGACACGGCCCAA
Molecule: ribosomal RNA, 238 nt
Filed under: uncultured bacterium
Lineage: Bacteria
Description: partial 16S ribosomal RNA
Rfam family: Bacterial small subunit ribosomal RNA
Source: RNAcentral